CCCCCCCCGAGAGAAAGUUAAUAGAGAUUAAUUAGGAUUAAUAGGGAUUAAUAAGAAUUAACGGGGAAGGAAAAAGAAAAAUAGGAACUGAUAAUAAUUACCGUUGAAGCACAAUGAAAAUUAAUGGGAAACAGUGAGGACUAUCGUAAGGUAGUGAUAAUUAAUGGGGAACACCAAUUAUUGAUGAUUAUUAAUGCAAAUUCAUCAAGAUUAAUAGGAAUUAAUGGGGAUUAAGGGGAAAUAACAGGAAAAAAGCAAAUUAAUGGGAAUUAAUGGGAGUUAAUAACGGCGCAAAACAGUGGGGAUUAAUGAGAGGUAAUAGAAAAGGAUGGGAAUUGAUGAGGAUUAAUGACAAUUAAUGGGAACAAAUGGAAACUAAUAAAAGUUAAUAGAAAUUAAUGGGAAGGAAUGAAGAUUGAAGAGGAUUAAUGAAAAUUAAUGAGGAAGAAUGGAAAUUAAUGGGGAUUAAUAGAAAUUAAUGGGAAGCAAUGGGAACGAGUGAGAAUCAGGGGAAAACAAUAGUAAUUAACGAGAAGUAAUGAGAGUUAAUGCAAAAUAAUAGCAAUUAACGAGGAUUAAUGGGAACUAUUAAGAGACAGCGAAAAAGGAAUUAAUGAGAAUUAAUGGAAGAUAAAAUGGGAAUUAAUAGGAAUGGGAAAUAACGGAGAUUAAUUGGAACUGGUGAGAGAUAGCGGGGUUUAAUGGGAACUAAUUACUGGGAAAUAAAAAAAAAUAAUUACCAAUAACGGUAAGUAACUGAGAUAGUAGAGAAUAGUAUUAAUUAAUCAAGAACAAUGAGAAGUGAGGCAGCACUGGGGAUACUGGGAGAUACUGGGAGGAUACUGGGAGGAUACUGGGGAUACUGGGAGAUACUGGGGAUACUGGGAGAUACUGGGAGGAUACUGGCGAUACUGGGGAUACUGGGAGGAUACUGGGGAUACUGGGAGAUACUGGGGAUACUGGGAGGAUACUGGGGAUACUGGGAGGAUACUGGGAGAUACUGGGAGGAUACUGGGGAUACUGGGAGGAUACUGGGGAUACUGGGAGAUACUGGGGAUACUGGGAGAUACUGGAAGGAUACUGGGGAUACUGGGAGGUACUGGGGAUACUGGGAGGAACUGGGAAUAGCAGGGGUACUGGGGAUACUGGG
This is a long non-coding RNA of Numida meleagris (helmeted guineafowl), 1150 nucleotides long. The record is from Ensembl. Lineage: Eukaryota; Metazoa; Chordata; Aves; Galliformes; Numididae.